AACAAACGCUGGCGGCGUGCCUAAUACAUGCAAGUCGAACGGGGAAAGUAGCAAUACGAGUACUAGUGGCGCACGGGUGAGGAAUACAUGGGUAAUCUGCCCUCGAGCUCGGGAUAACCAGUCGAAAGACUGGCUAAUACCGGAUAUGACCACAAGAUCUGAGGAUCAAGGGGUAAAAGGUUUUUCGCUUGAGGAUGAGCCCAUGUGGGAUUAGCUAGUUGGUGUAGGUAACGGCUCACCAAGGCGACGAUCCCUAACUGGUCUUAGAGGAUGAUCAGUCACACUGGAACUGAGACACGGUCCAGACUCCUACGGGAGGCAGCAGUAGGGAAUAUUGCACAAUGGAGGAAACUCUGAUGCAGCGACGCCGCGUGAGUGAUGAAGGCCUUCGGGUCGUAAAGCUCUGUCGUAUGGGACUAACAAA
This 424-nucleotide ribosomal RNA is filed under the name uncultured bacterium. Its description in RNAcentral is "bacterial SSU rRNA". It matches the Rfam family "Bacterial small subunit ribosomal RNA", at positions 29 to 453 of the family's 1533-position model. The record is from RNAcentral.